Molecule: transfer RNA, 73 nt
Filed under: Actinomycetes bacterium
Lineage: Bacteria; Bacillati; Actinomycetota; Actinomycetes
Also listed under: 2 other names
Description: tRNA-Asn
Rfam family: tRNA
About the family: Transfer RNA (tRNA) molecules are approximately 80 nucleotides in length.
Source: RNAcentral
UCCGAGAUAGCUCAGCUGGCAGAGCAGCUGACUGUUAAUCAGCGGGUCGCAGGUUCGAGCCCUGCUCUCGGAG